Long non-coding RNA from Pogoniulus pusillus (Red-fronted tinkerbird), 828 nucleotides. RefSeq lists it as uncharacterized. The transcript has 2 exons. NCBI's taxonomy places the organism in Eukaryota, Metazoa, Chordata, Aves, Piciformes, Lybiidae. The record is from RefSeq and is a predicted model, not a curated record.
CCCUCCUUAGAUGUCAGGUGUCAGACAUUGAUUGCCAUGGAAAGGGAUUUCUCCCUUAGAGAGCGUACGGCGCCAGCCACGGGACCGCCGCUUCUGAUCCCAUUUGCGGCCAGCCCUGGACUGCUGCCUCUGAUUCCAUGUGCGACCAGUCCUACCCUGCAGAAGCUCUUGCACGCUGCCUGCCUUGCAAUGCCUUCUUCUGCUCCCGUGUCCACCGUCCCUGUCUUCGUGUUCCGCAGAGAUCUGGGAUCAUUGCCUCGGUUACCGCUGAGCCGAUCCAGCCUGUGUCAGUGCCAUCUGUCGGCGACAGAGCGGCAGAGUAACCACAGAUACCAAUGCGCUUAAACGGUCCUCCCUCUGCUGCGGCGGUACAGCCUCUUCCAUGCCAGACUCAGACUCAGCUGGCUUAGUUAAGAUAGGUACAUGUGGAAGGCACAGAUAGGUUGAGGCUAUGCAUGAGACACAGACAGGUUAAGGCCUAAAGCAAACACGUAUGGGCCAGCCUCCUGUGGCCAGCAGACCCUGCCUCCUCGCAGCUGGACCUGGGGGCUGUUUCAUCGCCUCAGUUCCUGCCUCUGAGAUGGGCUCAAGGGCACUCUUCGCAGCAUGAGUUGCUCAUGUUUAUCAAAUCAUGUCCUCUGGCAGCGAGAAAUGCAUCCACAGCCAGCAGCUUUGCACAGCAGGGCCAAGAGAGAACCCAAGGACUGCAAUUCCUGUUUAAAAUGAUGCCCUCCCCACCCUACAGUCAGCCUCUUCUUCCAGGUUCCUUUUGCUGCUGUUCUUUUGAAGAGCAUUUAGCACUGACUGAAAUGGCUGAAAUGUAAAAGU